GGCUGCAGUCGAGAAUCUUCGGCAAUGGGCGCAACCCGGACCGAGCGACGCCGCGUGGAGGAUGAAGGCCUUCGGCAUGUAAACUCCUGUCGAGGGGGAGGAAGGGGAAACCUUGACCGAUCCCUGGAGGAAGCACGGGCUAAGUUCGUGCCAGCAGCCGCGGUAAGACGAACCGUGCGAACGUUAUUCGGAAUCACUGGGCUUAAAGCGCGUGUAGGCGGAUGGGAACGUCGGAUACUGAAAGCCCCCGGCUCAACCGGGGAAGUGGUUCCGAAACGACCUGUCUGGAGGGACGUAGGGGGAUCUGGAACUUCCGGUGGAGCGGUGAAAUGCGUUGAGAUCGGAAGGAACGCCCGUGGCGAAAGCGAGGUCCUGGACGUCUGCUGACGCUGAGACGCGAAAGCUAGGGGAGCAAACGGGAUUAGAUACCCCGGUAGUCCUAGCCGUAAACGAUGGGCACUGGGUAGGGGGCUCGCCGAUGGGCUCUCUGCCGUAGCGAAAGCGUGAAGUGCCCCGCCUGGGGAGUAUGGUCGCAAGGCUGAAACUCAAAGGAAUUGACGGGGGCUCACACA
This 572-nucleotide ribosomal RNA is filed under the name uncultured Planctomycetota bacterium. RNAcentral describes it as "bacterial SSU rRNA". It matches the Rfam family "Bacterial small subunit ribosomal RNA", at positions 347 to 927 of the family's 1533-position model. The record is from RNAcentral. Lineage: Bacteria; Pseudomonadati; Planctomycetota.